GUAUCGGCCCCCCAGGAUAGGCUCACCAAAGAGCCUGAACCAUGUCCCGCGACAAAGCAAACCAGAGGAAGAGGCCUCAGGAUUCAUAGCAGAGGACGUGGUCAUGUGAGCAGAUUAAACAUCACUGGCAAUCCAUCAGGGACCAGCACAUGAGGGACCUUAGGGAGGAGGCUGAGAGGCCCAGCGGAUCUGGGGCCCCCAGCAAAACUCCCUAUGUACACCACCCGCUUCUUCUUGGAUUCCUCCAGAAGUGCCAUGAACUGCGGAAAACACAUUCCAGUGUGAAGAGAGCACCACAGACCCUGGCAGUGGCAACCCCUGCUGACAAUACCCCCCUGGUCCAGUCCCCGCCCCCGACACUGCUGAUCAAGGGCAAGAGCCUUCUCCCCUACCAGCUUCCUCAUCGUCCAGACCAAAUCGCCAGAGGAUCGAAG
Hyla sarda is the source of this 434-nucleotide long non-coding RNA. RefSeq lists it as uncharacterized. The record is from RefSeq and is a predicted model, not a curated record. The transcript is spliced from 4 exons. Lineage: Eukaryota; Metazoa; Chordata; Amphibia; Anura; Hylidae.